AAUUUAAGGGCGUACGGUGGAUGCCUUGACUUUAAGAGGCGAUGAAGGACGUGGCGUUGCUGCGAUAAG
This 69-nucleotide ribosomal RNA is filed under the name Candidatus Nomurabacteria bacterium RIFCSPLOWO2_01_FULL_41_220. Its description in RNAcentral is "partial 23S ribosomal RNA". Lineage: Bacteria; Candidatus Nomuraibacteriota. The record is from RNAcentral. RNAcentral also lists the same sequence under 1 other name.